UCCAAGGAAAAGGAAAAGGGUGUGAGGUCUUUGGGGCCAGCUUUGAGCUGGCAAGGCUAAAUUAUAGGAAGAAGGCAGCGACGUGGGCAGAGACCAGAUGUGGGAGGACUUCCUGCGUCAGGCCAAGGAGUCUGGACUCCACCCUGUACGCGACGGGAGCCAAGAAAGGGCGCAAACACAUGGCACAUUUGUGGUUAAGAAACAUCUUCCUUGCUUCCUUGUAGCCUUGAGGAAUGAAUUAAGGGGCUGGAAAAGUGGGACCAGGACGGCCUGUGCCCAUGGUUCAGGCAGUGGAGCCUCAUCCACAACCCUGGAAAAGAACUGGAAAGCCUUGCUCAGCCAGGCUGGAGUGCAAUGGCGCAAUCUCGGCUCACCGCAACCUCC
This 384-nucleotide long non-coding RNA is filed under the name Homo sapiens (human). RNAcentral's name for it is "HSALNT0387977". The record is from RNAcentral. Lineage: Eukaryota; Metazoa; Chordata; Mammalia; Primates; Hominidae.